UUACUGAGUUUACGCUCUAUAACCCUUUGUGAACAUACCUAUAACUGUUGCUUCGGCGGGCAGGGUCUCCGUGACCCUCCCGGCCUCCCGCCCCCGGGCGGGUCGGCGCCCGCCGGAGGAUAACCAAACUCUGAUUUAACGACGUUUCUUCUGAGUGGUACAAGCAAAUAAUCAAAACUUUUAACAACGGAUCUCUUGGUUCUGGCAUCGAUGAAGAACGCAGCGAAAUGCGAUAAGUAAUGUGAAUUGCAGAAUUCAGUGAAUCAUCGAAUCUUUGAACGCACAUUGCGCCCGCCAGCAUUCUGGCGGGCAUGCCUGUUCGAGCGUCAUUUCAACCCUCAAGCUCUGCUUGGUGUUGGGGCCCUACAGCUGAUGUAGGCCCUCAAAGGUAGUGGCGGACCCUCCCGGAGCCUCCUUUGCGUAGUAACUUUACGUCUCGCACUGGGAUCCGGAGGGACUCUUGCCGUAAAACCCCCCAAUUUUCCAAAGGUUGACCUCGGAUCAGGUAGGAAUACCCGCUGAACUUAAGCAUAUC
Molecule: ribosomal RNA, 535 nt
Filed under: fungal endophyte
Lineage: Eukaryota; Fungi
Description: eukaryotic LSU rRNA
Rfam family: 5.8S ribosomal RNA (bases 176-329)
Source: RNAcentral